Molecule: ribosomal RNA, 352 nt
Filed under: uncultured bacterium
Lineage: Bacteria
Description: partial 16S ribosomal RNA
Rfam family: Bacterial small subunit ribosomal RNA
Source: RNAcentral
CCUACGGGGGGCAGCAGUGGGGAAUAUUGCGCAAUGGGCGAAAGCCUGACGCAGCGACGCCGCGUGAGGGAUGAAGGUCUUCGGAUCGUAAACCUCUGUCAGCAGGGAAGAACGGUCACGGGGCUAAGCAGCAGUGAAUUGACGGUACCUGCAAAGGAAGCACCGGCUAACUCCGUGCCAGCAGCCGCGGUAAUACGGAGGGUGCGAGCGUUAAGCGGAAUUACGGGGCGUACAGCGCUCGUAGGCGGUAUGUCAAGUCAAGGGUGACCUCCCCGCGCUCAACGUGGGAACUGCCUUUGAAUCUGGCAAACUGGUGUGUGUGAGAGUAUAGUGGACUUCCAGGUGUAGGCGU